This 492-nucleotide ribosomal RNA is filed under the name uncultured bacterium. RNAcentral's name for it is "partial 16S ribosomal RNA". It matches the Rfam family "Bacterial small subunit ribosomal RNA", at positions 29 to 507 of the family's 1533-position model. The record is from RNAcentral.
AGUGAACGCUGGCGGUAGGCCUAACACAUGCAAGUCGAACGGCAGCACAGUAAGAGCUUGCUCUUACGGGUGGCGAGUGGCGGACGGGUGAGGAAUACAUCGGAAUCUACUUUUUCGUGGGGGAUAACGUAGGGAAACUUACGCUAAUACAGCAUACGACCUACGGGUGAAAGCAGGGGAUCUUCGGACCUUGCGCGAUUGAAUGAGCCGAUGUCGGAUUAGCUAGUUGGCGGGGUGAAGGCCCACCAAGGCGACGAUCCGUAGCUGGUCUGAGAGGAUGAUCAGCCACACUGGAACUGAAACACGACCCAGACUCCUACGGGAGGCAGCAGUGGGGAAUAUCGGACAAUGGGCGCAAGCCUGAUCCAGCCAUACCGCGUGGGUGAAGAAGGCCUUCGGGUUGUAAAGCCCUUUUGUUGGGAAAGAAAAGCAGCAGGUUAAUACCCCGCUGUUCUGACGGUACCCAAAGAAUAAGCACCGGCUAACUUCGUG